GACGAACGCUGGCGGCGUGCUUAACACAUGCAAGUCGAACGGAAAGGCCCUGCUUUUGUGGGGUGCUCGAGUGGCGAACGGGUGAGUAACACGUUAGUAACCUGCCCUUGACUUUGGGAUAACUUCAGGAAACUGGGGCUAAUACCGGAUAGGAGCUCCUGCUGCAUGGUGGGGGUUGGAAAGUUUCGGCGGUUGGGGAUGGACUCGCGGCUUAUCAGCUUGUUGGUGGGGUAGUGGCUUACCAAGGCUUUGACGGGUAGCCGGCCUGAGAGGGUGACCGGCCACAUUGGGACUGAGAUACGGCCCAGACUCCUACGGGAGGCAGCAGUGGGGAAUAUUGCACAAUGGGCGGAAGCCUGAUGCAGCAACGCCGCGUGCGGGAUGACGGCCUUCGGGUUGUAAACCGCUUUCGCCUGUGACGAAGCGUGAGUGACGGUAAUGGGCAAAGAAGCACCGGCUAACUACGUG
RNAcentral lists this ribosomal RNA (468 nucleotides) under uncultured bacterium. Its description in RNAcentral is "partial 16S ribosomal RNA". It matches the Rfam family "Bacterial small subunit ribosomal RNA", at positions 28 to 507 of the family's 1533-position model. The record is from RNAcentral.